AAUAUUGGUCAAUGGGCGAAAUCCUGAUCUAGCCAUGCCGUGAGUGUGAAGAUGGUCUUCGGAUUGUAAAGCACUUUAAGUUUGGAGGAAGGGCAGUAAGCUAAUACCUUGCUGUUUUGAAGUUACCGAAUGAAAAUGUAACGGCUAACUUAGUGCCAGCAGCUGCGGUAAUACGAAGGGUGCAAGCGUUAACCGGAAUUACUGCGCAUAAAGCGCGCGUAGGUGGUUUGUUAAGUUGGAAGUGAAAGCCCCGGGCUCAAUCUGGGAACUGCUUUCAAAACUGGCAAGCUAGAGUAUGGCAGAGGGUGGUGGAAUUUCCUGUGUAGCGGUGAAAUGCGUAGAUAUAGGAAGGAACACCAGUGGCGAAGGCGACCACCUGGGCUAAUACUGACACUGAGGUGCGAAAGCGUGGGGAGCAAACA
Molecule: ribosomal RNA, 422 nt
Filed under: uncultured bacterium
Lineage: Bacteria
Description: partial 16S ribosomal RNA
Rfam family: Bacterial small subunit ribosomal RNA
Source: RNAcentral